GAUUAAGUUAUUAAGGGCGCACGGUGGAUGCCUUGGCACUAGAAGCCGAUGAAGGACGUUACUAACGACGAUAUGCUUUGGGGAGCUGUAAGUAAGCUUUGAUCCAGAGAUUUCCGAAUGGGGAAACCCAGCAUGAGUUAUGUCAUGUUAUCGAUAUGUGAAUACAUAGCAUAUCAGAAGGCACACCCGGAGAACUGAAACAUCUUAGUAACCGGAGGAAGAGAAAGAAAAUUCGAUUCCCUUAGUAGCGGCGAGCGAAACGGGAAGAGCCCAAACCAACAAGCUUGCUUGUUGGGGUUGUAGGACACUCUAUACGGAGUUACAAAGGACGACAUUAGACGAAUCAUCUGGAAAGAUGAAUCAAAGAAGGUAAUAAUCCUGUAGUCGAAAAUGUUGUCUCUCUUGAGUGGAUCCUGAGUACGACGGAGCACGUGAAAUUCCGUCGGAAUCUGGGAGGACCAUCUCCUAAGGCUAAAUACUCUCUAGUGACCGAUAGUGAACCAGUACCGUGAGGGAAAGGUGAAAAGCACCCCGGAAGGGGAGUGAAAUAGAACCUGAAACCGUGUGCUUACAAGUAGUCAGAGCCCGUUAAUGGGUGAUGGCGUGCCUUUUGUAGAAUGAACCGGCGAGUUACGAUUUGAUGCAAGGUUAAGCAGUAAAUGUGGAGCCGUAGCGAAAGCGAGUCUGAAUAGGGCGUUUAGUAUUUGGUCGUAGACCCGAAACCAGGUGAUCUACCCUUGGUCAGGUUGAAGUUCAGGUAACACUGAAUGGAGGACCGAACCGACUUACGUUGAAAAGUGAGCGGAUGAACUGAGGGUAGCGGAGAAAUUCCAAUCGAACCUGGAGAUAGCUGGUUCUCUCCGAAAUAGCUUUAGGGCUAGCCUCAAGUGAUGAUUAUUGGAGGUAGAGCACUGUUUGGACGAGGGGCCCCUCUCGGGUUACCGAAUUCAGACAAACUCCGAAUGCCAAUUAAUUUAACUUGGGAGUCAGAACAUGGGUGAUAAGGUCCGUGUUCGAAAGGGAAACAGCCCAGACCACCAGCUAAGGUCCCAAAAUAUAUGUUAAGUGGAAAAGGAUGUGGCGUUGCCCAGACAACUAGGAUGUUGGCUUAGAAGCAGCCAUCAUUUAAAGAGUGCGUAAUAGCUCACUAGUCGAGUGACACUGCGCCGAAAAUGUACCGGGGCUAAACAUAUUACCGAAGCUGUGGAUUGUCCUUUGGACAAUGGUAGGAGAGCGUUCUAAGGGCGUUGAAGCAUGAUCGUAAGGACAUGUGGAGCGCUUAGAAGUGAGAAUGCCGGUGUGAGUAGCGAAAGACGGGUGAGAAUCCCGUCCACCGAUUGACUAAGGUUUCCAGAGGAAGGCUCGUCCGCUCUGGGUUAGUCGGGUCCUAAGCUGAGGCCGACAGGCGUAGGCGAUGGAUAACAGGUUGAUAUUCCUGUACCACCUAUAAUCGUUUUAAUCGAUGGGGGGACGCAGUAGGAUAGGCGAAGCGUGCGAUUGGAUUGCACGUCUAAGCAGUAAGGCUGAGUAUUAGGCAAAUCCGGUACUCGUUAAGGCUGAGCUGUGAUGGGGAGAAGACAUUGUGUCUUCGAGUCGUUGAUUUCACACUGCCGAGAAAAGCCUCUAGAUAGAAAAUAGGUGCCCGUACCGCAAACCGACACAGGUAGUCAAGAUGAGAAUUCUAAGGUGAGCGAGCGAACUCUCGUUAAGGAACUCGGCAAAAUGACCCCGUAACUUCGGGAGAAGGGGUGCUCUUUAGGGUUAACGCCCAGAAGAGCCGCAGUGAAUAGGCCCAAGCGACUGUUUAUCAAAAACACAGGUCUCUGCUAAACCGUAAGGUGAUGUAUAGGGGCUGACGCCUGCCCGGUGCUGGAAGGUUAAGAGGAGUGGUUAGCUUCUGCGAAGCUACGAAUCGAAGCCCCAGUAAACGGCGGCCGUAACUAUAACGGUCCUAAGGUAGCGAAAUUCCUUGUCGGGUAAGUUCCGACCCGCACGAAAGGCGUAACGAUUUGGGCACUGUCUCAACGAGAGACUCGGUGAAAUCAUAGUACCUGUGAAGAUGCAGGUUACCCGCGACAGGACGGAAAGACCCCGUGGAGCUUUACUGUAGCCUGAUAUUGAAAUUCGGCACAGCUUGUACAGGAUAGGUAGGAGCCUUUGAAACGUGAGCGCUAGCUUACGUGGAGGCGCUGGUGGGAUACUACCCUAGCUGUGUUGG
RNAcentral lists this ribosomal RNA (2218 nucleotides) under Staphylococcus aureus. RNAcentral describes it as "partial 23S ribosomal RNA". It matches the Rfam family "Bacterial large subunit ribosomal RNA", at positions 1 to 2217 of the family's 2925-position model. The record is from RNAcentral. Lineage: Bacteria; Bacillati; Bacillota; Bacilli; Caryophanales; Staphylococcaceae.